Molecule: long non-coding RNA, 465 nt
Filed under: Struthio camelus australis
Lineage: Eukaryota; Metazoa; Chordata; Aves; Struthioniformes; Struthionidae
Description: lncRNA (ENSSCUG00000017740.1)
Source: RNAcentral
UAAGCGUAUGCUGGGGCAUCAGCCUGUUGCAAAGACUUCAAUGAGCAGCUGAAUGUCAGCAUCCUGAAAACACUAGUUGCAGGCACCAGUACGGCUGUGAAACCCCAAUUACCAAACCCCUUCGUGCAAGUGGACUCCGUACAGGACUGAGGUAUCAAGACAACGAAGAAAGCCAGGCAUAAGCAUCUGCAAACAUUGCUUCCAGGUGCAACAGGACCGCAGAAGUCCAAUUGUUCUUCACACAACAGUCUGUUAAAAAGAUGGAACUGCUUGACAUUUUCUUCACUCUGUGCAACAGAUAUCAACCUUUUCUGCUUUUUAUUUGAAAUGACAUGUGUAGGGCCAUUUCAUUUGUGUAGCUGAAAAUCUCCAAUGACAACUCUUCCAUUUCCAAGACAAUUCAUUUUUUUUAUUUUCCGUAUUUGUGUUAAUAAACAAAAAAGGUUGUGAAUAUGAAUGCCCUUG